RNAcentral lists this unclassified non-coding RNA (274 nucleotides) under Hevea brasiliensis (rubber tree). The record is from RNAcentral. Lineage: Eukaryota; Viridiplantae; Streptophyta; Magnoliopsida; Malpighiales; Euphorbiaceae.
GUGCAAUCCAUAACAUCCAAUAAGGCAAGUUCUGAACAGUCUGACUAAGUGAAAGCCAAAGAACUCCAUAACCAAAGAAACAAGAAAAAGAACCAAUUAACAGAACAACCCAAGGUGGAAACUUGUUACAUACAAGUCCAGGAAUAAGUCCAACAUUUUCACCUAUAUCAUUUGCCACUCCAAGCAUAGUUAGCUGCUGCUGAUUAAACCCCAAAACAGAUUUCAAAGAAUGAGAGUAAAGGGGGAAAUUGUAUGCAUUCCCAGAUGCUAUUUG